Molecule: long non-coding RNA, 326 nt
Filed under: Salvia miltiorrhiza (redroot sage)
Lineage: Eukaryota; Viridiplantae; Streptophyta; Magnoliopsida; Lamiales; Lamiaceae
Description: long non-coding RNA (SMIL_LNC009979)
Source: RNAcentral
UAUGUGGGCCAUAGAGUAAAAGAAUGCAACUUAAAAAUAUGAGACACACAUAUGUAUGCUCGUGUAUGUGUUUUCAAAGCAAAACAGGAGAAAGACCAGAUGGUGGAAGACUUACAGUCUCGCAGAUGAAGUGAUAAAAACGAGAAUGAUUCCAGAGAGGAGAAGGAUGAUUGGUGUGAGAUGAAUGGAAGAAAUGGUUGUAUUUAUACACGUUCUGAGAAGUUAUUUAGAGUAGGAAGAAUCAAUCAGUAUCAAUCUUUCUAUAUUUGAUCUCUUUUUGGAAGGAAAUGUAAAUUAGGGUAAAACCCUUCAUGGUUGUGCAGCCG